AUGAACGCUGGCGGCGUGCUUAACACAUGCAAGUCGAACGAUUAAAGCUCACUUCGGUGAGUGUAUAGAGUGGCGAACGGGUGAGUAACACGUGGGAAACCUGCCCCUUUCUUCGGGAUAACUUCGGGAAACCGUUGCUAAUACCGGAUACUCCGGGAUGGUCGCAUGGCCGACCCGGGAAAGCUUUAUGUGGAAAGGGAUGGUCCCGCGGCCCAUUAGCUUGUUGGUGGGGUAACGGCCUACCAAGGCGAUGAUGGGUAGCCG
This 264-nucleotide ribosomal RNA is filed under the name uncultured bacterium. Its description in RNAcentral is "partial 16S ribosomal RNA". It matches the Rfam family "Bacterial small subunit ribosomal RNA", at positions 29 to 289 of the family's 1533-position model. The record is from RNAcentral.